GAUGAACGCGGGCGGCGUGCCUAACACAUGCAAGUCGAACGGAGAUUACGGACGGAAGUUUUCGGAUGGAAGCCUGUAAUUCUUAGUGGCGGACGGGUGAGUAACGCGUGGGCAACCUGCCCUAUACAGGGGGAUAGCAGCUGGAAACGGCUGGUAAGACCGCAUAAGUCGGUUGAAUCGCAUGAUUUGAUCGGGAAAUGAGCAAUCAGGUAUAGGAUGGGCCCGCGUCCGAUUAGCCAGUUGGCAGGGUAAAAGCCUACCAAAGCGACGAUCGGUAGCCGGACUGAGAGGUCGGACGGCCACAUUGGGACUGAGACACGGCCCAAACUCCUACGGGAGGCAGCAGUGGGGGAUAUUGCACAAUGGAGGAAACUCUGAUGCAGCGACGCCGCGUGAGUGAAGAAGUAUUUCGGUAUGUAAAGCUCUAUCAGCAGGGAAAGAUGAUGACGGUACCUG
RNAcentral lists this ribosomal RNA (456 nucleotides) under Catonella morbi. Its description in RNAcentral is "bacterial SSU rRNA". It matches the Rfam family "Bacterial small subunit ribosomal RNA", at positions 28 to 481 of the family's 1533-position model. Lineage: Bacteria; Bacillati; Bacillota; Clostridia; Lachnospirales; Lachnospiraceae. The record is from RNAcentral.